AUUUCUUUGAAAUUCUACAAGGAACUUCAGGCACAUGGUGCUGAUGAGUUAUUAAAGAGGGUGUACGGGAGUUUCUUGGUAAAUCCAGAAUCAGUCUUCUAAUAGGUUGUCUCAACAUUCAUGGCCAGAGGAAUUGAAAGGCACCGUGUCAUCCUUGAAUAGAACAGCUAUGUUAUACUUCUUUAAAGGAGGUUUAAAGUGGAAAAACUGAACAGCCUUUUUACCCUGUGAUUCAGUGGCAUGUCUCAAAUUCUGAGGCAUUUAGCAGGACCCCAAAGUGAGAACCAGUACCCAAAAUGGAAUGAUGAUUGAUAUUAUUUAAUACUGGAGUGCCAAAAAUGUGCUAAGCAUUAUCUAGAGCAAAGAUUUAGCCCAUCCUCCCGAAGAGCCCAUGCUCAACAAAAAAUACAGACCUCAGCCGGGCGCAGUGGCUCAACGCCUGUAAUCCCAGCACUAUCGGAGGCCAGGGUGGGCGGGUCACCUGCAUUCAGGAGUUCAAGACCAGCCUGACCAACAUGGAGAAACCCCAUCUCUACUAAAAGUACAAAAUUAGCCAGGCGUGGUGGCGCAUACCUGUAAUCCCAGCUGCUCAGGAGGCUGAGGCAGGAGAAUCGCUUGAACCUGGGAGGCGGAUGUUGUGGAUACAAUGUCUCUUUGCUAUAUGACCUUGAAAAUCUUCCGGCAUCCAAGGAUUCCAUUGUGCAUCA
Molecule: small RNA, 707 nt
Filed under: Pongo abelii (Sumatran orangutan)
Lineage: Eukaryota; Metazoa; Chordata; Mammalia; Primates; Hominidae
Description: processed transcript
Source: RNAcentral